Triticum dicoccoides is the source of this 861-nucleotide long non-coding RNA. RefSeq lists it as uncharacterized. NCBI's taxonomy places the organism in Eukaryota, Viridiplantae, Streptophyta, Magnoliopsida, Poales, Poaceae. The record is from RefSeq and is a predicted model, not a curated record. The transcript is spliced from 3 exons.
CUCCACCGCGGCGGGCUGCCAUUCCUCCGACUAUGGCGCCGCCGUGCCAGCACCUCCUGCAUCCGGCAUGGAGAAGGGAUCAGGGGCGCCACCGUCGGCAAUGUUGUACAUGCGUCGGGUUCAGUAAUUUCAGCAACGUCGCCGGUAGCUUCUCGUCUAACACAUAGCCGAGUGGCUAGCUGAACUGGAGCAUCCAAACGCCGCACUCUCCAGUAUGAGGAGGUAGCUUUGCACACAGAUGUGCACAAACAUUUCCCUCUCUACGAAUGAAAGACAGAGUAAAAGAAAGUACCAUAUUAUAUGGUUUUUAUGCUCAGUUUAGAUACUUACAUAGUCAACAAUAUUAGUACUUUUGCAGAAGGAAAGAAGUCCCUACAGCGAUUGGAAAGAAAAAGUUUUUCUAGAUAAUUAAAGGCCCUGCAUACAUAAUAUCAUUCAUGUGUCUUGUUUUAUAUUUUUGUUUGUUCAUGUCGUGUGUGUGUGUGUGUUUCCUUUCGAUGUAGCCGGAGUUGGUAUUAGGAGGAGAAACAUGGCAGCAUGUGCAAUUGUAUUGAACUGAGUGGCGUCUUUGCAUGCUAGUUAAAACCUACCAAUGCCACCUUUCCUUUUAAGUUUUUGAAUGCAAGGUUAAUGAAAUAUGGUAGGAUCAAAUCUUUCAAUUGCAACAUGUAUGCAUUCCAUGCUUUUCUUGCAAAAAGAUUUAAACCAACUUUCAUCUCUUAAAUAACACAUGUAAAAUUAUACGCCGACAUGUUUUUUUUCUUUCAUUACUUUGACAUAUCAAAGGGCGAUGGAUCGAGGUUGGAUGAGUCAACCAAGAACUAGUGUUGCUUACAAAGAUGGUGUCGGGCAAUUUCUGUC